Molecule: small RNA, 3354 nt
Filed under: Pan troglodytes (chimpanzee)
Lineage: Eukaryota; Metazoa; Chordata; Mammalia; Primates; Hominidae
Description: retained intron
Source: RNAcentral
CUUCUAGCUUUAGUGUUGAAUGAUUCUUGUGCUUCUGUUUGUGAUUUUGCUAAGGUGUUGACUUAUCUGCACAAUUUGUUUAAGACAUUUUAUUUUCUCUGUUGUCACAUAUUGCUAAUCACUUUCAAAAGAAUCUGUUGUAUUAAGGAAGUUCAGAUUCACUCCCUACAUAUUUUUUGAGCUACUCAUGACUUAAAACCUUUUUUAAACUUUAUAGAAGUUUUCUAGUCAGAUAAUUUAAUAUAUAUGUAAUUAUAAACAAAAGUGUUGUCUUCAUGCUAGUUUAAACUAAUUUUUAAAAAAUUAUUUCUAGAUAAUCCACAAGAUGGGAUUAUGGUGCAACUAGUUGUUAAUUUGUUGCAGUUAUCCAAGAUGGCAAUAAACCACACUGGUGAAAAAGAAGUUCUAGAGGCUGUUGGAAGCUGCUUGGGAGAAGUGGGUCCUAUAGAUUUCUCUACCAUAGCUAUACAACAUAGUAAAGAUGCAUCUUAUACCAAGGCCCUUAAGUUAUUUGAAGAUAAAGAACUUCAGUGGACCUUCAUAAUGCUGACCUACCUGAAUAACACACUGGUAGAAGAUUGUGUCAAAGUUCGAUCAGCAGCUGUUACCUGUUUGAAAAACAUUUUAGCCACAAAGACUGGACAUAGUUUCUGGGAGAUUUAUAAGAUGACAACAGAUCCAAUGCUGGCCUAUCUACAGCCUUUUAGAACAUCAAGAAAAAAGUUUUUAGAAGUACCCAGAUUCGACAAAGAAAACCCUUUUGAAGGCCUGGAUGAUACAAAUCUGUGGAUUCCUCUAAGUGAAAAUCAUGACAUUUGGAUAAAGACACUGACUUGUGCUUUUUUGGACAGUGGAGGCACAAAAUGUGAAAUUCUUCAAUUAUUAAAGCCAAUGUGUGAAGUGAAAACUGACUUUUGUCAGACUGUACUUCCAUACUUGAUUCAUGAUAUUUUACUCCAAGAUACAAAUGAAUCAUGGAGAAAUCUGCUUUCUACACAUGUUCAGGGAUUUUUCACCAGCUGUCUUCGACACUUCUCGCAAACGAGCCGAUCCACAACCCCUGCAAACUUGGAUUCAGAGUCAGAGCACUUUUUCCGAUGCUGUUUGGAUAAAAAAUCACAAAGAACAAUGCUUGCUGUUGUGGACUACAUGAGAAGACAAAAGAGACCUUCUUCAGGAACAAUUUUUAAUGAUGCUUUCUGGCUGGAUUUAAAUUAUCUAGAAGUUGCCAAGGUAGCUCAGUCUUGUGCUGCUCACUUUACAGCUUUACUCUAUGCAGAAAUCUAUGCAGAUAAGAAAAGCAUGGAUGAUCAAGAGAAAAGAAGUCUUGCAUUUGAAGAAGGAAGCCAGAGUACAACUAUUUCUAGCUUGAGUGAAAAAAGUAGAGAAGAAACUGGAAUAAGUUUACAGGAUCUUCUCUUAGAAAUCUACAGAAGUAUAGGGGAGCCAGAUAGUUUGUAUGGCUGUGGUGGAGGGAAGAUGUUACAACCCAUUACUAGACUACGAACAUAUGAACACGAAGCAAUGUGGGGCAAAGCCCUAGUAACAUAUGACCUCGAAACAGCAAUCCCCUCAUCAACACGCCAGGCAGGAAUCAUUCAGGCCUUGCAGAAUUUGGGACUCUGCCAUAUUCUUGCCGUCUAUUUAAAAGGAUUGGAUUAUGAAAAUAAAGACUGGUGUCCUGAACUAGAAGAACUUCAUUACCAAGCAGCAUGGAGGAAUAUGCAGUGGGACCAUUGCACUUCCGUCAGCAAAGAAGUAGAAGGAACCAGUUACCAUGAAUCAUUGUACAAUGCUCUACAAUCUCUAAGAGACAGAGAAUUCUCUACAUUUUAUGAAAAUCUCAAAUAUGCCAGAGUAAAAGAAGUGGAAGAGUUGUGUAAGCGCAGCCUUGAGUCUGUGUAUUCGCUCUAUCCCACACUUAGCAGGUUGCAGGCCAUUGGAGAGCUGGAAAGCAUUGGGGAGCUUUUCUCAAGAUCAGUCACACAUAGACAACUCUCUGAAGUAUAUAUUAAGUGGCAGAAACACUCCCAGCUUCUCAAGGACAGUGAUUUUAGUUUUCAGGAGCCUAUCAUGGCUCUACGCACAGUCAUUUUGGAGAUCCUGAUGGAAAAGGAAAUGGACAACUCACAAAGAGAAUGUAUUAAGGACAUUCUCACCAAACACCUUGUAGAACUCUCUAUACUGGCCAGAACUUUCAAGAACACUCAGCUCCCUGAAAGGGCAAUAUUUCAAAUUAAACAGUACAAUUCAGUUAGCUGUGGAGUCUCUGAGUGGCAGCUGGAAGAAGCACAAGUAUUCUGGGCAAAAAAGGAGCAGAGUCUUGCCCUGAGUAUUCUCAAGCAAAUGAUCAAGAAGUUGGAUGCCAGCUGUGCAGCGAACAAUCCCAGCCUAAAACUUACAUACACAGAAUGUCUGAGGGUUUGUGGCAACUGGUUAGCAGAAACGUGCUUAGAAAAUCCUGCGGUCAUCAUGCAGACCUAUCUAGAAAAGGCAGUAGAAGUUGCUGGAAAUUAUGAUGGAGAAAGUAGUGAUGAGCUAAGAAAUGGAAAAAUGAAGGCAUUUCUCUCAUUAGCCCGGUUUUCAGAUACUCAAUACCAAAGAAUUGAAAACUACAUGAAAUCAUCGGAAUUUGAAAACAAGCAAGCUCUCCUGAAAAGAGCCAAAGAGGAAGUAGGUCUCCUUAGGGAACAUAAAAUUCAGACAAACAGAUACACAGUAAAGGUUCAGCGAGAGCUGGAGUUGGAUGAAUUAGCCCUGCGUGCACUGAAAGAGGAUCGUAAACGCUUCUUAUGUAAAGCAGUUGAAAAUUAUAUCAACUGCUUAUUAAGUGGAGAAGAACAUGAUAUGUGGGUAUUCCGACUUUGUUCCCUGUGGCUUGAAAAUUCUGGAGUUUCUGAAGUCAAUGGCAUGAUGAAGAGAGACGGAAUGAAGAUUCCAACAUAUAAAUUUUUGCCUCUUAUGUACCAAUUGGCUGCUAGAAUGGGGACCAAGAUGAUGGGAGGCCUAGGAUUUCAUGAAGUCCUCAAUAAUCUAAUCUCUAGAAUUUCAAUGGAUCACCCCCAUCAUACUUUGUUUAUUAUACUGGCCUUAGCAAAUGCAAACAGAGAUGAAUUUCUGACUAAACCAGAGGUAGCCAGAAGAAGCAGAAUAACUAAAAAUGUGCCUAAACAAAGCUCUCAGCUUGAUGAGGAUCGAACAGAGGCUGCAAAUAGAAUAAUAUGUACUAUCAGAAGUAGGAGACCUCAGAUGGUCAGAAGUGUUGAGGCACUUUGUGAUGCUUAUAUUAUAUUAGCAAACUUAGAUGCCACUCAGUGGAAGACUCAGAGAAAAGGCAUAAAUAUUCCAGCAGAC